Molecule: long non-coding RNA, 207 nt
Filed under: Olea europaea (common olive)
Lineage: Eukaryota; Viridiplantae; Streptophyta; Magnoliopsida; Lamiales; Oleaceae
Description: long non-coding RNA (OEUR_LNC011876)
Source: RNAcentral
UUUAUUGAAAAAAGAUAGUACAGCCCACGACAAUUGUUUAGAUACUGAAGCUUUCAAAACCCAUUAAAUACAUAUAGCCUAACUACUGAAAAUUGUGGGAAAAGCAUUCCAAAACCACAAUGACAUCAACUUGCAUUAUAAUCUAUAAAUUCUCGUCAUUUUCUUAUUCAUUUGACUUAAUGGUAAUUUGUCUUGAAAUAGAACAAA